AUUGAACGCUGGCGGCAUGCCUUACACAUGCAAGUCGAACGGCAGCACGGGUGCUUGCACCUGGUGGCGAGUGGCGAACGGGUGAGUAAUACAUCGGAACGUACCUUAUCGUGGGGGAUAACGCAGCGAAAGUUGCGCUAAUACCGCAUACGCCCUGAGGGGGAAAGCGGGGGACCGAAAGGCCUCGCGCGAUUAGAGCGGCCGAUGUCUGAUUAGCUUGUUGGUGAGGUAAAAGCUCACCAAGGCGAUGAUCAGUAGCUCGACUGAGAGGACGAUGAGCCACACUGGGACUGAGACACGGCCCAGACUCCUACGGGAGGCAGCAGUGGGGAAUUUUGGACAAUUGGGGCAACCCUGAUCCAGCAAUGCCGCGUGAGUGAAGAAGGCCUUCGGGUUGUAAAGCUCUUUUGUCAGGGAAGAAACAGCAGCUCUAACACAGUCUGCGAAUGACGGUACCUGAAGAAUAAGCACCGGCUAACUACGUGCCAGCCGCCGCCGUAA
RNAcentral lists this ribosomal RNA (501 nucleotides) under uncultured bacterium. RNAcentral describes it as "partial 16S ribosomal RNA". It matches the Rfam family "Bacterial small subunit ribosomal RNA", at positions 30 to 523 of the family's 1533-position model. The record is from RNAcentral.